Non-coding RNA from Chelonoidis abingdonii (Abingdon island giant tortoise), 856 nucleotides. The record is from RefSeq and is a predicted model, not a curated record. NCBI's taxonomy places the organism in Eukaryota, Metazoa, Chordata, Testudines, Testudinidae.
UAGACCGGAAAAGCUCUGUGCCCAUACUGAGGAGAUGUACUGUAGUGGGGGGAGAUUUUUCAAGAGGCCCCCAAUUGGCCAUGGCCCCUGGGCACAGGGCCUAGUGGUAAUCCUUCUCUGCCCAGCUGCCCCCAGCAGUGUAAGGUUUGGGGAGGCUUAGCCUCCCCCAGCCUCCAUUAUGCUCUGCCCAGCCCUGGCUCCAAAGAUUUUUAAAAUUAUUUAGCCACAGUGGAACGGCCUCAACAGGAGAGACUGAGGGAGCCCCCGACAUCAAUAUAUCCUACAGCCCAGUGUUUAGAGUACUCAUCUGAGAGGUGAUAGAUCCCCAUUUAAAUCUCCCCGUAACCCUUCCAGGCAAAGGAGGAGGAAGUUGAACCAGAAGUCUCCUACAUCACAGGGGGGGAAAAAUCUACCCACAAUACACAGGCAGACUCAUUUGCAAGAAAUGUGCAGAAAAAAACAGAAGUUUUCCCUACACUGAAUUAAUCCCUCGACAACUAGAUCCACCAAGUUUCAGACUGCUUUGUACAAGUGGCCCUACUUGAAGGAGUCUUACUAGACGUAAGAACCAGACUGUGACAAGGUAAAAGCAGCAGCCUGGACAAGGUUAAGAAGUCUCUGCUAAUCACAUGUUUAGACAGGAUAUAUAAGGAAGUGAAGCUGGAUACAGGGCUGCAGGGGAUGGUGUGUCCUCUUCCCCGAUUGAUGGAGGCAGGGAAAAGCCUCUUAGGGGCUAUGACUGGUGUUUGCAGUUGAGUUGUGUUGUGUUAUUUUGUUUUGAUUUGCAACCUAUGUUGUAAACAAUCAACACAUCCCUAAGGGUCUUAUAAAGGAAGCUGGCAUGAAGUUUGCUUCC